RNAcentral lists this ribosomal RNA (301 nucleotides) under uncultured bacterium. Its description in RNAcentral is "partial 16S ribosomal RNA". It matches the Rfam family "Bacterial small subunit ribosomal RNA", at positions 509 to 807 of the family's 1533-position model. The record is from RNAcentral.
CAGCAGCCACGGUAACACGUAGGGUGCGAGCGUUAAUCGGAAUUACUGGGCGUAAAGCGUGCGCAGGCGGUUUUGUAAGACAGGCGUGAAAUCCCCGGGCUCAACCUGGGAAUGGCGCUUGUGACUGCAAAGCUAGAGUGCGGCAGAGGGGGAUGGAAUUCCGCGUGUAGCAGUGAAAUGCGUAGAUAUGCGGAGGAACACCGAUGGCGAAGGCAAUCCCCUGGGCCUGCACUGACGCUCAUGCACGAAAGCGUGGGGAGCAAACAGGAUUAGAUACCCGAGUAGUCCCUGUCUCUUAUAC